CCUACGGGUGGCAGCAGUGGGGGAUAUUGCACAAUGGGGGAAACCCUGAUGCAGCGACGCCGCGUGAGUGAAGAAGUAUUUCGGUGUGUAAAGCUCUAUCAGCAGGGAAGAAAAUGACAGUACCUGACCAAGAAGCCCCGGCUAACUACGUGCCAGCAGCCGCGGUAAUACGUAGGGGGCAAGCGUUAUCCGGAUUUACUGGGUGUAAAGGGGGCGUAGACGGUUAUGUAAGUCUGGAGUGAAAGCCCGGGGCCCAACCCCGGGACUGCUUUUGAAACUGUGUAGCUGGAGUACAGGAGGGGCAGGCGGAAUUCCUGGUGUAGCGGUGAAAUGCGUAGAUAUCAGGAGGAACACCGGCGGCGAAGGCGGCCUGCUGGACUGAAACUGACGUUGAGGCUCGAAAGCGUGGGGAGCAAACAGGAUUAGAUACCCUUGUAGUC
RNAcentral lists this ribosomal RNA (440 nucleotides) under uncultured bacterium. RNAcentral's name for it is "partial 16S ribosomal RNA". It matches the Rfam family "Bacterial small subunit ribosomal RNA", at positions 338 to 795 of the family's 1533-position model. The record is from RNAcentral.